GGAAGGAUCAUCACUGAUUCUCACGGGAGGAGUGUGCGUCGCGCUAUCGCGUGCACGCCGCGCCUCCCAAACAAUCUUUUGUGCACGGUUUCACGGUCAACAACUAGAGACGCGCCGCGUGUGUGUGUGUGUUGGCAAGAAGCGCCGCCCGCCCCAAUGGGGUGGGGUGGUGGCACACUUGCCAGCCGCGCGCACGCAUGUGCGUGUCUUUUGUUUUGCAACAACACACAUCCACUUGUACAAUCUCUGUCUAACGUUACCUAAAUUAUACAACAAUACAACUUUCAACAAUGGAUCUCUUGGCUCUCGCAUCGAUGAAGAACGCAGCAAAUUGCGAAAAUUAAUGUGCAUUGCAGUACGUGAAUCAUCGAGUCUUUGAACGCAACUUGCACUCUAGGUUCUCCUAGAGUAUGCCUAUUUGAGUAUCGGUACACCCCCACUCAAUCCCCACCCCCUCUUCCGCGCGUGCGUGGUAGUGGUGUGGUGGUGGUUUGGAUCGGAUGAGUCGUGCGUGCGCAUGCGCGCGCGUGCGUGUGCAUUUCCACACGCCGCCGCGCGCACACUGACUUUAAGUGUACACUGAAUCGGGCCUAUGUAUACUGUACAUGCGGCGCUGACGUGAUAAUCUCACACGUUUGAGAACACAACUCGUCAGACACACAUGCCACGUGUCGGUCAUAGGGACCCAGUCACACACACACACACAUAUACACACAAAUCUCGAUCUCAAAUUAGGUAGGACUACCCGCUGAAUUUAAGCAUAUCAAUAAGCGGAGGAAAAGAAACUAACAAGGAUUCCCCUAGUAACGGCGAGUGAAGCGGGAACAGCUCAAAUUUGAAAUCUGGCUUGGCACAUGCGCCGGGUCCGAGUUGUAAUUUACGGGUCCGCGUAUCGGUGACACGGGCUGGUAUAAUUUGCCUGGAAUGGCAAGUCAUAGAGGGUGAUAGUCCCGUCCAUGACCAGCCACGUGCGCGCCACACGUUACGCGGACGUAGAGUCGAGUUGUUUGGGAAUGCAGCUCAAAAUGGGAGGUAGAUUUCUUCUAAAGCUAAAUAACGGCGAGAGACCGAUAGCGAACAAGUACCGUGAGGGAAAGAUGAAAAGAACUCUGAAGAGAGAGUGAAACAGUACGUGAAAUUGUUGAAAGGGAAACGCUUGAAACCGCUAUGGUUGCGCGUAUGCGUGCCUGCCAACAUCAGUUUGCGGCUGCGGUACACAAGGCCGUGGGGAAUGUAGGACACGCUUUACCGCGUGUCUGUUUAUAGACCCGCGCGCACAUGCACUGCCCCGGACUGAGGUCUGCCGUCGCGCGCCUCGCGUGCACGACGUAGGAUGUUGGCUGAAUGGUUUUAAUCGACCCGUCUUGAAACACGGACCAAGGAGUCUAACAUGUAUGCGAGUAUUUGGGUGAUGAAACCCACGUGCGCAAUGAAAGUAAAUCAAGGAUGGGAAGCGCAUGCGCGCCGCACCAUCGACCGAACCCCUUACCGGGAUUUGAGUAGGAGCAUACAUGCUGGGACCCGAAAGAUGGUGAACUAUGCCUGAAUAGGGUGAAGCCAGAGGAAACUCUGGUGGAGGCUCGUAGCGAUUCUGACGUGCAAAUCGAUCGUCAAAUUUGGGUAUAGGGGCGAAAGACUAAUCGAACCAUCUAGUAGCUGGUUCCUGC
RNAcentral lists this unclassified non-coding RNA (1667 nucleotides) under uncultured fungus. RNAcentral's name for it is "sequence contains 18S rRNA gene, ITS1, 5.8S rRNA gene, ITS2, 28S rRNA gene". The stretch from base 722 to 1667 matches the Rfam family "Eukaryotic large subunit ribosomal RNA", at positions 1 to 961 of the family's 3401-position model. The record is from RNAcentral. Lineage: Eukaryota; Fungi.